AUACGUAGGGGGCAAGCGUUGUCCGGAAUUAUUGGGCGUAAAGCGCGCGCAGGCGGCCUGCUAAGUCUGAUGUGAAAGCCCACGGCUCAACUGUGGAGGGCCAUUGGAAACUGGUAGGCUUGAGUGCAGGAGAGGAGAGCGGAAUUCCCGGUGUAGCGGUGAAAUGCGUAGAGAUCGGGAGGAACACCUGUGGCGAAGGCGGCUCUCCGGCCUGUAACUGACGCUGAGGCGCGAAAGCGUGGGGAGCAAACAGGAUUAGAUACCCUGGUAGUCCACGCCGCAAGCGAUGAGUGCUAAGUGUCGGGGGUGACCAACCCUCGGUGCUGUCGCUAACGCAAUAAGCACUCCGCCUGGGGAGUACGGCCGCAAGGCUGAA
Molecule: ribosomal RNA, 376 nt
Filed under: uncultured bacterium
Lineage: Bacteria
Description: bacterial SSU rRNA
Rfam family: Bacterial small subunit ribosomal RNA
Source: RNAcentral